UACGAAGGGGGCUAGCGUUGCUCGGAAUCACUGGGCGUAAAGGGUGCGUAGGCGGGUCUUUAAGUCAGGGGUGAAAUCCUGGAGCUCAACUCCAGAACUGCCUUUGAUACUGAGGAGCUUGAGUCCGGAAGAGGUGAGUGGAACUGCGAGUGUAGAGGUGAAAUUCGUAGAUAUUCGCAAGAACACCAGUGGCGAAGGCGGCUCACUGGUCCGGUAUUGACGCUGAGGUGCGAAAGCGUGGGGAGCAAACAGG
This 253-nucleotide ribosomal RNA is filed under the name uncultured bacterium. RNAcentral's name for it is "partial 16S ribosomal RNA". It matches the Rfam family "Bacterial small subunit ribosomal RNA", at positions 524 to 776 of the family's 1533-position model. The record is from RNAcentral.